CCUACGGGGCGCAGCAGUGGGGAAUAUUGCACAAUGGGGGGAACCCUGAUGCAGCGACGCCGCGUGAAGGAAGAAGUAUUUCGGUAUGUAAACUUCUAUCAGCAGGGAAGAAAAAGGACGGUACCUGACUAAGAAGCCCCGGCUAACUACGUGCCAGCAGCCGCGGUAAUACGUAGGGGGCAAGCGUUAUCCGGAUUUACUGGGUGUAAAGGGAGCGUAGACGGCAUAGCAAGUCUGAAGUGAAAGCCCAAGGCUCAACCAUGGGACUGCUUUGGAAACUGUUAAGCUAGAGUGCUGGAGAGGUA
This 305-nucleotide ribosomal RNA is filed under the name uncultured bacterium. Its description in RNAcentral is "bacterial SSU rRNA". It matches the Rfam family "Bacterial small subunit ribosomal RNA", at positions 338 to 659 of the family's 1533-position model. The record is from RNAcentral.